CACGUAGGAGGCGAGCGUUGUCCGGAAUCAUUGGGCGUAAAGAGCGCGCAGGCGGCUUGGCAAGUCGGGUGUGAAAGCCCGAGGCUCAACCUCGGAACUGCCCUCGAUACUGCAAAUCUCGAGUCCGAGAGAGGUGAGUGGAAUUCCUAGUGUAGAGGUGAAAUUCGUAGAUAUUAGGAAGAACACCAGUGGCGAAGGCGGCUCACUGGCUCGGUACUGACGCUGAGGCGCGAAAGCGUGGGGAGCAAACAGG
This 253-nucleotide ribosomal RNA is filed under the name uncultured bacterium. Its description in RNAcentral is "partial 16S ribosomal RNA". It matches the Rfam family "Bacterial small subunit ribosomal RNA", at positions 524 to 776 of the family's 1533-position model. The record is from RNAcentral.